CGUUUCAACCAUCAGGUGGUCUUCCUCAGGUGCUGACCACCUGGUUGAAACGCUGUUCAGCACCUGAGGAAGACCACCUGAUGGUUGAAACG
This is a non-coding RNA of Pelobates cultripes (western spadefoot toad), 92 nucleotides long. The record is from the annotation of a GenBank genome assembly. Lineage: Eukaryota; Metazoa; Chordata; Amphibia; Anura; Pelobatidae.